CAACAAUCAAAUGGGAAAAGAAUCAUUUGUCGUUGUUCAUCAAAAUCAUCUCUAAUUAAUCGUAAAAAGCAAAGUACAAAUCGAUAGAAAACAUACCUGAGGAGAGAAUAACAUCAGAAUAUGUUACACUUGUAAAAUAUCAACAAAAUUACUCACACACUUGCUUUGCCUCUAAGUUCCAUACCAGAUCACCUAAUCCACAUGUACUUGACGAUAAUCCACAUGUAAUUGAUGAUAAUCUUCUCAGUUACACAAAUUUGUCUGGGCGGGUUUUUGUUUGGAUCCAAUUACACAAAUACUGAUUGUAAAAAGAAAAUAACAAUUUCAUGAGAUUGAGCCCAAACUUUUGAGAAGACCCAAAGCUCAAAAUCAGCCAUCUCUAUUAAAUUUAGUCCCCUUCUUAACCAUCUUUACGGCCAUCCAACGCCGACAAUUUCUCCUCCAGAGAUCCCAUCUCCGUAGCGAAGCCUUCACCGUUUGUAACAUCCAUUUGCGAAUGUUAUCCUCUCUCCCAUCCAAAGCACUCGUACUUGGUGCCGAAACAAUCACCGUCCUACGAAAAACCCCUCACAAAUCUCACUAUUUAGAGAUUAUAUCUCAGUCCAACAAAGAUAGUGCAGGAAUAUGAGCAUGGAAGGCGGGUCGGAUUCGUGGCUGCUUGGCAUCUGUAUUAGGGAUGAAUUGAUUGAAUGGACUACCGAAAUAUCGAGGAUGAAGUUAUUUUAAGUCUAUAAUUUAUGUAUUUAUUUUCCACAUAUAGGUUUGGACAAUUAAUUUAAGAUUAUGUUUUCUUUAUGUUUUUAUGUAUUAAAUAAUGGGAUCCCAUACCGUAUUUUUAAUUUUUCUAAUAAUGUUAUAUUAUUUUAUGUAUGUAUUCCAAAAUAAUAGUUAUGCUUA
Molecule: long non-coding RNA, 897 nt
Organism: Humulus lupulus (European hop)
Lineage: Eukaryota; Viridiplantae; Streptophyta; Magnoliopsida; Rosales; Cannabaceae
Exons: 2
Source: RefSeq, a predicted model, not a curated record